CCUGAAGGGAAGUUUUCUUUCUGCAGUUCUCUUACUGCACAUAACUGUGGCAUUGUGGGAAGUCUUGCUUCUUUUCUCUUGCAUUCUGGGAAGUCUCGCUCAUAAUCUUCUCUCUGCUUCUGCACAAGAGUCUGAGAAUGUUCUGAACAGUUCCCAUUGAGUUCAUGAAACAGUGUAUCCUGACCUGUUCUUAAUGCAUUGCUGACCACAUCUACGGAACGUGAUUGUUGUAUUCCUUCAUGUUAUGUUCUCUCAAUAUCAAUCUUUAGUUAUAAUUUAAUUAGGAGGUUUCAUGCCUGUCUAGUUCCAGCUCCGUUCCCAGUCUUUAAUCUAUCAAUGAUAAAUGGACAUAUGUUAUUCCCGCCUUGUACCUAUGUUAACCAAUCAGCAACAAGAUGCUUUGUGUUUGUAUCAACCAAUCAGCCACAAGCACACCUGUGGCAAUGUUUGUAAUAUUCAAUAAAAGAGAGUUCCCGGGGCUUGCCCCGGCAGACGCCUCUCCUUUGACACCCACCACUCGUCUGUCGUGAUUUCAACCCAACAUCUGGUGACCCCCGACGUGCCAGAUCCCUUACGCAGCCAAACCUCAUACUUCACCCAACUGGAAAAGUCUCAGCGCGCUACUUCGUGAGUAUGGGAGGGGAAUUGACUAAAUUCCAGAAAGAGCAUGCUAAAGAAUUGCUUCAUUUAGUUAGACAGUGGGAGGUGGGUGUUAAUAUUUCCUUAAAAGAAAUUGAACAAUUGCUAUGUGAGAUUUCUUGCCAAUAUCCCUCCUAUCCAGAGAAAGGCUCUUUGGAAGUAGAGACUUGGCAAAAGAUCGGAAAGACCCUUUUUGCAGAACCUAGGGCUCCGAUUCAUUGUCUGCUCACUUGGCAGAAAUGUGCAGAUGCCGUUGCUAAAUUACCACAGGCGUCUCGCUCGACUCCUGCACUUCUAGCCAUCGCAGACAAUCCCCCACCCUACCCACAACUUUUGCCUCCUUCUCCUUUGCAGCCCAGCCAAUCCCUCCCUGCGUCUCACCCUCCUCAGCCUGCAUCUUCCCCCCCAUCCCUCCACCUCAGCCUGCAUCCUCCCCCCCAUCCCUCCACCUCAGCCUGCUUCCUCCCCCCCAUCCCUCCUCCUCCUGCCACAGCCCCUGUUUGCUCUAUAGGAGCUGUGCGCGUUGCGCUCUCUUUGGCCAGGCAGAAAGGGCUCCUGUCCUUAGAGGAGGAGUCUGAGUGGCCAGGUGAAAUGCCGUCUGCUUUCCCUAUCACCUAUUCAAACCCUGGAACUGCUCAACAGCAGGUUUAUUAUGAAUCGCUUCCUUAUUCUGUAAUGAGAGAAUUAAGGAAAGCCAUUGCUGAUUCUGGUCUAAAAUCCUCAUGUGACAGGGAUGCUAGAAGGCAUAGCAACUGGUUACAUUAUGCUACCUCAGGACUGGAAAGACCUGAUGCGCAUGCUUUUGUCCCCUGCUCAGUAUGUGGUGUUUGAGAGUGAAUUUAAGCAUAGCGCAUCAGCCCUGUCUGAUCCUCAACAUACUGCCAAUGAACUUUAUGGUGCUGGUCAGUUUGCUGAUAUAACUGCCCAAGCAACACUGACACCUGUACAUUUUGUUCGCACCGCGACCUGUGUACAACGCGCCUUUCGGAAAGUCCCUGUCUCUGGGCAACCGCUGAGCUCCUUUGUAAAUAUUAAGCAACAGCAUUCGGAGCCAUACCAUCAGUUUAUAGAUAGAUUGAAAGAAUCAGUCACUAGGCAGAUUGAUAACACCACUGCUCAAAAUGAAUUGAUGAAAAAAUUGGCCUUUGAAAACGCAAACAUGGAUUGCAAGAAAGCAUUGCAGUCAAUCAUACAUCGCCCUAAAUAUGACCUGGCCGAUAUGAUUCAAGCUUGUGCGGAUGUCGGUAGCCAGAGCCAUGCGAUGUCUUUGCUUGCCGGCACAAUCCAAGCAACCACUAGGCCUACGGGUAACUGCUUUAAUUGCAAGCACCCAGGCCAUUUUGCCAAGCAAUGCAGAGCCCCUGGCGGGGGGGGCACACAAGGAUGGUGCUGCCUCUAAGGCUAAACCUUCAAAAAAGUGCCUGAAAUGUGGCAAAGGCUAUCAUUGGGCUAAUCAAUGCAGAAGUCCGGGAAACUCCAUUGCGGCCCCACUCUCGGGCCAGGGCAAUUAGAGAGUUUUCCACCUUUAGUUUCUACUGCUGCAAACUUUUCAAAAAACACACCCUCUGAAUUUGCCAUUGAUUUGAUCAAUCAGGAGACCAAAGACUCUGCUUUACCUGGUGAAAUUGUGCUUAUGCCCACUCAGUUGGCAGGCCCCCUGCCUCCUAAAGUCGCAGGUUUAAUUUUACCCAAAUUUUCUGCGGCAAAGGAAGGAAUCCAGGUUAUUCCUGGGGUUCUGGAUCCUGACUAUGUUGGCACAAUAAUGGUUCAACUCUGGAGCCAUAUGCCCAUGCAAUUAAAAAAGGGUGAGUCUUGGGCGCAUUUGGUGGUGCUCCCUUCUCAUCCUACUGCUUCUAUUAUGGAUACUAAUUUGCACGAGCUCUCUUCUUUCCCUCCACAGCUGUUAGCUGUAGUCCAGAGGAUUGGUGAAAAGAAACUUCUUCGAGAAGGAUCGUAAAUUCUUUGCUUUUACCGUUCCUGUGUUAAAUAACAGUCAGCCCAUGGAACGGUACCAAUGGAAAGUCCUACCACAAGGAAUGUUGAAUUCCCCUACCAUGUGCCAAUACAUCAGCCAUGGAACACCUUGCUGUUUAAGCUGUUUGUCCAUCAUUUUACCCAAGAAGCAUCAUUUAUCCCGCUCUCGAUAUCACUGCAAUAUUGAAUUGACUAAUGAUUGUGAUGCUUUUGUCUCUCUUCUCAGUAGGUCUGAAUAUAUCUUUUUAGUUGUUUCUCUCUUAGGAGUCCCUGGACUGGCUGUACGGAAUCGCAUGAACAUUAAUUCUUAAGCUUGUUCUGAAGCAAAAACCCUGAAUUUUACUUCACAACCUCUUCACCUUUUGAAUAAAGAACAGUGAACUCCACUAUGGACUUUUAUGAAAUCGUGCUGCUAUCACUAUUUGCUCAUGCUUCAUCAUUAUGGCUGUGAACAAGUGAAUGACAUGUGUUGUUUCAAUAUUAUUGACAAUUCUAGAGCCAUUCAAAGCCAAAUCUCUCAUUUGCAAAAUCUUACACAUCACAUUAAACAGGACGUUGGAUUUUCUGGCCUCUGGGAUUCUUUCACCCAGUGGCUUACCGCUUGGUUGCCAAACCUUACUUGGCUUCGUAGUCUUUUUCAAUAUGCUAUUGUCAUAAUUUGUAUUCUUGUUUUGCUAUGCUGCUUCCUUCAAUGCGUUCCUAGCCUCAUAAGUCUUUUCUCUCUGCUUCUCUCUCCCCCUCCACCACCCAGUAAACUCCUUGCUGCCUACUUUGCGAAAUGGCAACACCAACAGUAACCUUUAGGGGAGAUGUGGGCGGAUUUAUUUUGGGCAUGCGCUGGCAAACCACGUAUCCUGAAGUAUUUUUGUCCCAUCGACCCUGGCAAGCUUAUUUCGGGCAUUCGCUGGCACACCACUAAUCCUGAAGUAUUUUUGCCUUAUUUACCCAGAACGCCUCGCAAACAAGAAAAGAAAGGGAGAGAUGAAGGGAAGUUUUCUUUCUGCAGUUCUCUUACUGCACAUAACUGUGGCAUUGUGGGAAGUCUUGCUUCUUUUCUCUUGCAUUCUGGGAAGUCUCGCUCAUAAUCUUCUCUCUGCUUCUGCACAAGAGUCUGAGAAUGUUCUGAACAGUUCCCAUUGAGUUCAUGAAACAGUGUAUCCUGACCUGUUCUUAAUGCAUUGCUGACCACAUCUACGGAACGUGAUUGUUGUAUUCCUUCAUGUUAUGUUCUCUCAAUAUCAAUCUUUAGUUAUAAUUUAAUUAGGAGGUUUCAUGCCUGUCUAGUUCCAGCUCCGUUCCCAGUCUUUAAUCUAUCAAUGAUAAAUGGACAUAUGUUAUUCCCGCCUUGUACCUAUGUUAACCAAUCAGCAACAAGAUGCUUUGUGUUUGUAUCAACCAAUCAGCCACAAGCACACCUGUGGCAAUGUUUGUAAUAUUCAAUAAAAGAGAGUUCCCGGGGCUUGCCCCGGCAGACGCCUCUCCUUUGACACCCAC
This is a non-coding RNA of Podarcis lilfordi (Lilford's wall lizard), 4107 nucleotides long. The record is from the annotation of a GenBank genome assembly. Lineage: Eukaryota; Metazoa; Chordata; Lepidosauria; Squamata; Lacertidae.